GCCUAGCCGUAACACACAAUUAAACUACCAAUUGUUCGCCAAACAACUACGAGUCAUACUUAAAACUUAAAAGACUUGACGGUACUUCACCACAUCCUAGAGGAGCCUGUCUAAUAACCGACAACCCACGAUUAAUCCAACCCCUCCUUGCCUAAUCAGCCUAUAUACCGCCGUCGUCAGCCUACCUUGUAAAAGAAAUAAAGUGGGCUAAAUAGUAUCGCACUAAAACGACAGGUCGAGGUGUAGCUCAUGGAAGGGACUAAGAUGGGCUACAUUCUCAACCGAGUAUACGAACAGCACUAUGAAACAAGUUCUCGAAGGCGGAUUUAGCAGUAAGAUAGGAAUAGAAUACCCAACUGAACAUAACGCAAUGAAGUGCGCACACACCGCCCGUCAUCCCUGCCCCCAC
Molecule: ribosomal RNA, 409 nt
Filed under: Porthidium dunni
Lineage: Eukaryota; Metazoa; Chordata; Lepidosauria; Squamata; Viperidae
Description: partial 12S ribosomal RNA
Source: RNAcentral